Molecule: ribosomal RNA, 527 nt
Filed under: Alternaria tenuissima
Lineage: Eukaryota; Fungi; Ascomycota; Dothideomycetes; Pleosporales; Pleosporaceae
Description: eukaryotic LSU rRNA
Rfam family: 5.8S ribosomal RNA (bases 152-305)
Source: RNAcentral
GCGGGCUGGACCUCUCGGGGUUACAGCCUUGCUGAAUUAUUCACCCUUGUCUUUUGCGUACUUCUUGUUUCCUUGGUGGGUUCGCCCACCACUAGGACAAACAUAAACCUUUUGUAAUUGCAAUCAGCGUCAGUAACAAAUUAAUAAUUACAACUUUCAACAACGGAUCUCUUGGUUCUGGCAUCGAUGAAGAACGCAGCGAAAUGCGAUAAGUAGUGUGAAUUGCAGAAUUCAGUGAAUCAUCGAAUCUUUGAACGCACAUUGCGCCCUUUGGUAUUCCAAAGGGCAUGCCUGUUCGAGCGUCAUUUGUACCCUCAAGCUUUGCUUGGUGUUGGGCGUCUUGUCUCUAGCUUUGCUGGAGACUCGCCUUAAAGUAAUUGGCAGCCGGCCUACUGGUUUCGGAGCGCAGCACAAGUCGCACUCUCUAUCAGCAAAGGUCUAGCAUCCAUUAAGCCUUUUUUUCAACUUUUGACCUCGGAUCAGGUAGGGAUACCCGCUGAACUUAAGCAUAUCAAUAAAGCGGAGGA